RNAcentral lists this long non-coding RNA (223 nucleotides) under Pan troglodytes (chimpanzee). Its description in RNAcentral is "long non-coding RNA NONPTRT016093". Lineage: Eukaryota; Metazoa; Chordata; Mammalia; Primates; Hominidae. The record is from RNAcentral.
CCUCUGCUUUUUUAGGCCUGGGGUGACAAAGACUUUCUGCUCUUAUUAACCUUGAGGUCAAGCAAUCCUCCUGCCUCAGCCUCCUGAGAAGCUGGGACUACAGGUGUGCACUAUCCCAUUGGACUAAUUUUUAAUUUUUUUGUAGAGAUGGGGUAUUGCCAUGUUGCCCAGGCUGGUCUUGAACUCCUGGGCUCCAGUGAUCCUCCUGCCUUGACCUCCCAAA